UUGUGGGCGGAUCUGAAGGCGGGAUAACUGUAAAUGCAAGUGGAUAGUAUCGGCUAAUUCAGAAUUUCAACGAAUGAGAUUGGUGUUACUCUAUGACAAUCAAAAACUGUCCAAUUAUCACCGUUUGAAGUUGUCUAUCAAGUGGAACUUUAACCAAACGUUUCGCAGUUCGUGUUCCCUACCUCUUUGAGUUCCGUCUUAUAGAGUGUCUUCUUAAAUAAACUGUUGUUGUACCUAGCGACGAGAUUCCAUUAAAUGAAAGGAGGCAAAAAUAAGAAGCUGCGGCGAUGAAACUCCAUUAGUCAAAAGAAGACGUGGCGACGAAACUGAUUGCUCGUAUUUUUGACAAUGGAAGCUGUUGUAUCUCAAAGGUGUCAUCCAAAUGCAUUAAAAUGAUCCUAAAGGUCACCGGGUAAUGACCUCUAUACAGUAGAAGAUGAGGAGCUGACAGAUGGCCUCUACAACUACCUGAUGAAGUGCUGUGAAGAGCUGUAGGCACUUUGUGAAGAUCCACAGAGUUCACGUCAUUCUGGAUGUGCUGAUGCCGGAGGCUCAUUUGGCUUCAGUGAGUCUCUGAGUACAGAAAGUGUCUCUGUGAGUGACGUCCUCUCUGUUUCUGUGUCUGUCAUCGGUUCUUAAUAAAGCUCGAGGAACAGUUGAGAGGAUUUCUCUAGCAGAGGCAGAAGGUCUGAUCAUUGAUGGACCAGCAGACGGUGAGUGAAGAGCUUGACACACUUGAGCUUCAACUGUUGGGAGUACAAAGACAGACAGCAUCACUGAGACUUUUCAACUUGGGAUUCCAUCUCAGCGCCUCCUCUGAUAAACGUGUCACUGGCUUUACUGGUCUUUGGCCUUUUGGAUUUCUGAGUGCUGAACUGACUGACGAGUUGUGGAGAUUUGAUUUAACUAUUGAUGUCAAUAAUAAAGUCCUGCAUGUUUGAAAUG
Long non-coding RNA from Polypterus senegalus (gray bichir), 945 nucleotides. RefSeq lists it as uncharacterized. The record is from RefSeq and is a predicted model, not a curated record. NCBI's taxonomy places the organism in Eukaryota, Metazoa, Chordata, Cladistia, Polypteriformes, Polypteridae. The transcript is spliced from 3 exons.